CAGCACUUACCUCCAACCGUCAGGAUUACUUUUUGGCUCUAACUUGUGCCUCACACUCUGUUCUUCCACCCGAGGUGUUGCUUCCAGAGGGCAGAGGCCGGGUCAGUGAGGCUCACACUGCGCGCAGGAAGGCGGCGGGGACGCGAGGCUCGCACCUGCUCUACUUCCUCCUCCGCAUCUCGCGCGCGUGGAGGCCCAGAAGCACCUGAGCUGGCAGGGCUCCGCGCUGGACCUGGCCAUCAUCAGCCCAGACCCCAGGGCCCUCGAGCGGAUACCCCGGUACCACCACAGCCCGACGCAAGAGAAGGAUGAGCUCCCAUUACCCCAGGGUGCAGACCAAGGCCUGGUUCCUGCCUGGGGUCUGGGGGCCUGGCGGGGGAGGGCUGGGGCCAGGAGCUUGGGGGCUAUGCGUGCAGCAGAGGGACUGUGUGUGUCUGGGGCGAGUCUGCGCCCCUCCUUCUGGCUGCCGGGAAUUGCCUGCGUUUACGAGUGUGUGCCCGUGUCCCAGUGGCUAGUCUCUGUGUGCCUUUGUCCCCCGAUGUGUUCAGGGGAAAGGAGCACCGUGGUCGGAAGGACUGCAGAGUCAGGAUGCCCGGCUGGGAGUCUGGCUUCUGCCACUUAAGACCCUGUGCCUUGGAUGAGUUGCCCAGUUUUUCCCUGCCUCGGUGUCCUUGUUCCUUGUGGAUACAUUCAUCCACCAAAUAUUUACCGAGCAUCUGCAGUGUUCUAGGCACUAGCCCAGGCCUUGGAGGCCGCCGCAGUGAGCAAAAGUCGCAGAUCCUGGCUCUGGUGAGCCAGGCCAACAAUAAAGAAAGAAUUGAGUACACAGUA
Molecule: long non-coding RNA, 831 nt
Organism: Mustela lutreola (European mink)
Lineage: Eukaryota; Metazoa; Chordata; Mammalia; Carnivora; Mustelidae
Exons: 3
Source: RefSeq, a predicted model, not a curated record